RNAcentral lists this ribosomal RNA (1359 nucleotides) under Perga condei. RNAcentral describes it as "large subunit ribosomal RNA". The stretch from base 1116 to 1274 matches the Rfam family "Archaeal large subunit ribosomal RNA", at positions 2544 to 2703 of the family's 2987-position model. The record is from RNAcentral. Lineage: Eukaryota; Metazoa; Arthropoda; Insecta; Hymenoptera; Pergidae.
AAAUUUAUUUAAUUAUUUUUAUUAUUUUUAUUAUAUUUUUUUUUAUUAAAAAUAUUUUUAAUAUUAUUAGUUUGAGUAUAGUUUAUAGAAAGAAUUUUUUUUGUUAUAGUUUAAUUGUAUUGAAAAAGAAUUUUUAAAUAUAUUUUAAAUAUUUAAAUGUAAAAAAGUAAUUAAUUUUGGUGUACCUUGUGUAUCAGGGUUUAUUAAAUUAAUAAUAUUAAUAAUAUUUUUCUCGAAAAAAAAAGAUUUAAUUAAUUAUGAUAGUUAAUGUUAUAAAAUUAUUUAAAAUAAUUAAUUUGCAAAUGAUACGUUAUUCGUUUUUUUUGAUAUCUAGUUUUUUGAUAAAUGAAUUUAAUUCAUAUAUUAAAUAUAAUUUAUUUUAAAUUGUAAAUUUAAAUUUUAUUAAUAUAAAUAUUUAAGGGGGNAUAAGCUUUUAAAUAAAUUUUUAUAAUAUAUAUAUAUAUAUAUAUAUAUAUAUAUAUAUAUAUAUAUAUAUAUAUAUAUAAUUUAUUAUUUAGUCUUAAAAAUAGAUAUAAUUUUAAAAAUGUUAUAAUUUAUUAAAUUUAUAAUAAGAUNUUUUUUUAUUUAAUUUUUUUAUUAAAAUAUUUAAUUUAAUUAUAAAUUUAAAUUAAUAAUGAUAAAAUUAGUAAAUUUUGUUGUAGUUAAUAUUUUUUUUUGAAAAAUUUUAUUAAGGAAUUCGGCAAAAAUAUUUAUUCCGCCUGUUUAACAAAAACAGUCUUUUUGAAUAUAAUUUAAAGUCUAAUCUGCCCAAUGAUUUAUUUAAUGGCCGCAGUAUUUUGACUGUGCAAAGGUAGCAUAAUAAUUAGUCUUUUAAUUGGAGGGCUGGUAUGAAGGAUUGGACGAGAUAAAUACUGUCUCAAUUAAAUUAUGAUUUAAUUUAAUUUUUAAGUAAAAAAGCUUAAAUUUAAUUAUAGGACGAGAAGACCCCAUAGAGUUUUAUAUUAACUUUUAUAUUUUCUAUUAAAUUAUAUUAAAUUAUAUUUUAAUAUUUUAUUGGGGCGAUAGAAAAAUUUAAUAAACUUUUUUAAUAUUUAUACAAAGAUUAUUGAAAUGUUGAUCCUAAAUUUUAGAUUAUUAGAUUAAGUUACCUUGGGGAUAACAGCGUUAUUUUUUUUAGAAGUUCAUAUUAAUAGAAAAGAUUGCGACCUCGAUGUUGGAUUAAAAUAAUUUUUUGGUGUAGAAGCUAAAAUAUUAGGUCUGUUCGACCUUUAAAUUUUUACAUGAUCUGAGUUCAAACCGGUGUAAGCCAGGUUGGUUUCUAUCCUUAAUUUUUUUUUAUAUUUUAGUACGAAAGGAUUAAAUAUAGGAAAUAAUUUUUUAUUUAAGAAUAUUAUUAAU